AUGGAGGCUGCACGGUAUCGACCUUGGUCAGAUCUCCUGCCCGAACUUCUAAGCCUUGUCCUCAAGCGUCUCCCUUCCCUAGCUGACCGUGUUCAUCUGAGGGCAGUCUGUCACCCAUGGCGCUCUAACUGUCUGCUGCAACCGCUUCCCGUCCCGUUCCCAUGGCUCACCCUCCCUGACGGAACAUUCCUCUGUAUCCCAGGAGGCGAGGUUCACCGCAUGCCAGCUGUACCAGAUGGUGUUAGUUGCCGUGGCUCCAUCGAUAACUGGCUAUUUCUCAUGAGUAGUGAUGAUGCAUGCACAUUGAUGAACCCUUUCUCCAAAACCACUUUGGAGCUUCCUAAUCUGGUCUCAGUUUGGCAGCGUAAGGUACCCUACGAAUCUGAUCCUACACAACUUUUCUACAAGUUGGUGGUGCCCUCACCCGUGGACCUAUCACCUGAUUCCCUCAUUGUGGCAUUGAUGAUGGACGAAGUUAAUAUUGGUACAGUUUGCAUUAGCCAGCCACCGAUGGCCACUUACUCGUUACGAGGCAAUAGGCAGCCAUUAUACCACCCGUAUGAUGUUGCGUUCUUUGAUGGAAAGUUGUAUGCGGUGACUUCCAUUGGCAAGCUCUUCAUCCUUGAGUUUUGCAGCAAUCUUGUUGAAUGCGGUGGUAGACUGUUGAUGGUUCAACGAUUUAUUCGUCACCUGGGCCCUCUCUGUAGGGAUAAUAUAUUUGAAAAUAUGCAGACUAUUGGGUUUGUUGUCGUCGAGGCAGACUUGCACUCUGAGCCUUGCCGAUGGAGAAUGAUCAGUGAGUUGGGUGGCCAUGCUCUCUUUGUUGGCAAGCAUGGCUCCAAGUCUCUGCCUGCUAGAGAAUGCAGCGGAUCCCAAGAGGAUUGCAUCUACUUCAUUUGUGACUAUGCACAUCCAAAAUUCUCUAUGAGUCCAUUUCAUGACUCUGGUGUGUACAACAUGGGGAAUGGGAGGAUCACACCAUUGAUGUCUCAGACUGCAGCACCUGCACAUGAUGCUGGCCAGUGGCGCCCAACAUGGUUUUUCCAUGCUGGAGCUGUUUCACAGAUUGUCAUGUGUAUGCCUAAUUUGUUCUGCUGA
RNAcentral lists this ribosomal RNA (1098 nucleotides) under Triticum aestivum (bread wheat). RNAcentral describes it as "partial small subunit ribosomal RNA". The record is from RNAcentral. Lineage: Eukaryota; Viridiplantae; Streptophyta; Magnoliopsida; Poales; Poaceae.